UUGAAUGGGGCCUUUUGGCCACCUUCUUCCAAACCUGUGGAAACGAGAAGUGCUUUGGUGCCCCUGGCGCCAAGUCCAUGCAAUUAGCCUUGUUGUCUGAUUGGAGACAAAUUUUA
This 116-nucleotide unclassified non-coding RNA is filed under the name uncultured Ascomycota. RNAcentral describes it as "sequence contains ITS1". The record is from RNAcentral. Lineage: Eukaryota; Fungi; Ascomycota.